GAACCCAUCACUUAUGGGAUUAACCCUGUACAGCGACAGAUCAAGAAACCAUUUAUGGGGACUCGCCUCAGAGGUUGUCCGACGGGAGGUAGAAACAGGGACAGCCUUUUCAUCCCUCCCCGGUGGCACCGGCCCUGCAGAAGAGGUUUUCAAAGAAAACUCUGUCUUAACACAUGAAGCCAAGACCAUCACAACGUCCCAGACUCCAAGCCUUCCAUCAUGGCUGAGACGUCAGAACAGCUGGACAAAUUUCAGAAAUACUUUUCUGACUCAGCCAAGGACAACUGGGUUAGAACUUCGGAGAAAGGAGGCCAACCACUAUCUUCCAAUUCAACCACCAUUUACUGAUUGCCUCACCCACCCCCCUCCCAUCUUUUCAACCUCCUUCAGGAAAGGACACCUCGAUUUUCUGCAGGACAUCCCCCUCGCUCCACCAGUGGUUUACUUUUUCUGCGUGCAGGCAACUGCACUUCCGGUGCCUGAUGGUCAUGUGACCCAACCCUGGCCAAUCAGAGCCUCACAUGCCCUGGCCGCAGUGAUUGCCAGCCCAGUUCGGAUCACUGAAAAAUCAGAAGAGGACUUUUGUUCCAUCUGUUGACUGACAGUUGGUUCCCUUCUCAGCCGGUCUUGGAGUUGUGAGAGUGGGGGUUGCUAGCAGCCAUUUUUCCACCCACUGGGCAGCAUCUGAUGGAGGGCAGGGAGUUAGCACAAAAGGAAGGUAAACUGAGUGCAUAGAUGAGAUGGAGGCCAGUGCCCUAUUAGCAUCAUUUGAGCUCCUGGAUCAAGCCACACCUGAAUGUCUUCUUUUUCUUUUCUUUAUUUUUUGAGAGAGAGAGACAGA
Molecule: long non-coding RNA, 841 nt
Organism: Suricata suricatta (meerkat)
Lineage: Eukaryota; Metazoa; Chordata; Mammalia; Carnivora; Herpestidae
Exons: 3
Source: RefSeq, a predicted model, not a curated record